AGCUCUGUAAGCGUAUACCAAAGUUGUUGCAGUUAAAACGCUCGUAGUCGGACGUUGGUGGGCGUGUCAGGUCGACCUCGCGGUUGUUCUUGGCACGAACGCCUUUGUGGAGGGGGGCUUCGUGGUGCUUCAUUGCCAUCGCGUUUAGUCGCUGCCACCGUUUACUGUGAAAAAAUUAGAGUGUUCAAAGCGGGCGUUUGCCAUGAAUACAUUAGCAUGGAAUAAUAGAAUAGGACCUGGUCCUGUUUUGUUGGUUUGUGAGUAUCAGGUAAUGAUUAAGAGGGACGGUUGGGGGCAUUUGUAUUCCGACGUUAGAGGUGAAAUUCUUGGAUCGUCGGAAGACAAACAGCUGCGAAAGCGUCUGCCAAGGACGUUUUCAUUGAUCAAGAACGAAAGUAGG
RNAcentral lists this ribosomal RNA (400 nucleotides) under phytoplankton environmental sample. RNAcentral's name for it is "partial small subunit ribosomal RNA". It matches the Rfam family "Eukaryotic small subunit ribosomal RNA", at positions 587 to 993 of the family's 1831-position model. The record is from RNAcentral.